GAUGAACGCUAGCGGCAGGCUUAACACAUGCAAGUCGAGGGGCAUCACGGGUAGCAAUACCUGGUGGCGACCGGCGCACGGGUGCGUAACGCGUAUGGAACCUACCCACCGCAGGGGGAUAACCCGCCGAAAGGCGGACUAAUACCCCAUGGUUCCCCGACCCUGCCUGGGGUUGGGGGUAAAGCCUACGGGCGGCGGUGGAUGGCCCUGCGUGCCAUUAGCUGGCUGGUGGGGUAACGGCCCACCAAGGCUACGAUGUUUAGGGGACCUGAGAGGGUGAUCCCCCACACUGGUACUGAGACACGGACCAGACUCCUACGGGAGGCAGCAGUGAGGAAUAUUGGUCAAUGGGCGGAAGCCUGAACCAGCCAUCCCGCGUGCAGGAAGACGGCCCUAUGGGUUGUAAACUGCUUUUCCAGGGGGAGAAACUUUCCGAUGCAUCGGGAUUUGACGGUACCCUGGGAAUAAGCAUCGGCUAACUCCGUG
RNAcentral lists this ribosomal RNA (486 nucleotides) under uncultured bacterium. RNAcentral describes it as "bacterial SSU rRNA". It matches the Rfam family "Bacterial small subunit ribosomal RNA", at positions 28 to 507 of the family's 1533-position model. The record is from RNAcentral.